GAACCAGUACCGUGAGGGAAAGGUGAAAAGCACCCCGGGAGGGGAGUGAAAUAGAACCUGAAACCGUGUGCCUACAACAAGUUCGAGCCCGUUAAUGGGUGAGAGCGUGCCUUUUGUAGAAUGAACCGGCGAGUUACGAUAUGAUGCGAGGUUAAGUUGAAGAGACGGAGCCGUAGGGAAACCGAGUCUUAAUAGGGCGUCAUAGUAUCAUGUUGUAGACCCGAAACCAUGUGACCUACCCAUGAGCAGGUUGAAGGUGAGGUAAAACUCACUGGAGGACCGAACCAGGGCACGUUGAAAAGUGCUUGGAUGACUUGUGGGUAGCGGAGAAAUUCCAAACGAACUUGGAGAUAGCUGGUUCUCUCCGAAAUAGCUUUAGGGCUAGCGUCGAUGUUAAG
RNAcentral lists this ribosomal RNA (398 nucleotides) under Streptococcus agalactiae. Its description in RNAcentral is "bacterial LSU rRNA". It matches the Rfam family "Bacterial large subunit ribosomal RNA", at positions 492 to 892 of the family's 2925-position model. Lineage: Bacteria; Bacillati; Bacillota; Bacilli; Lactobacillales; Streptococcaceae. The record is from RNAcentral.